This 73-nucleotide transfer RNA is filed under the name Crassvirales sp. RNAcentral describes it as "tRNA-Asn". It matches the Rfam family "tRNA". From Rfam's summary of the family: Transfer RNA (tRNA) molecules are approximately 80 nucleotides in length. Lineage: Duplodnaviria; Heunggongvirae; Uroviricota; Caudoviricetes; Crassvirales. The record is from RNAcentral.
UGGACUGUGGCUGAGUGGUUUAAGCACCAAACUGUUAAUUUGGGUAACGUAGGUUCGAAUCCUAUCGGUCCAG